Long non-coding RNA from Triticum aestivum (bread wheat), 579 nucleotides. RefSeq lists it as uncharacterized. NCBI's taxonomy places the organism in Eukaryota, Viridiplantae, Streptophyta, Magnoliopsida, Poales, Poaceae. The record is from RefSeq and is a predicted model, not a curated record. The transcript is spliced from 2 exons.
UCUCUACGUAAAAAUAGUAUCGUUUCUAUCUUCUCGUUAUCAACAAACAAACAGAUUAGUUAACUAUCUAGGUUUUGCCUGGGCGACACUUUCAUCACCGGCUGUACACGGAGGAUCAGCGUCGUCGUGAGUAUUCUUCUGCCGCCGGCGAGACAGUGAAAUAACAGCUGGCCGUUGUCGUUGUGAGUACCACACAAGCCAGAUGCCAAUGUGACGACAGGAGUAAGGCGUUUAGCAAGGCAACCGGAGGAAAACCAACGAUGUCUCCUCAGAGCGUACACAAGGUGUCACCGAUGUGGAGCCGUCGCCGGUGACGGCUAUCCGCUCCGGUUUUGAUUGGCAACUUCCUCCACUGGUGUGUGGUAUUACACUGGAUGUACCACGGGCGCAACUAGCCGUCGGCGACGAGCUGACUACUCCUGCAUCGACCCCAAGCUCUGGAACCUAUGCAUCGAUAGAAACAAGACUAUAUUGUGUAUAUCAAAAGUUCAGUAUCAUGUAGAGAUGUAGAAAUUAUGGACGAACAGUUUGUAUUGGUCUACGCGUACAUAUGUCUGCAGUAUAUCAUACAAUAUACUA